UGCAGUCUUUAGACCUGAUCUUCUCU
This 26-nucleotide non-coding RNA is filed under the name Homo sapiens (human). Lineage: Eukaryota; Metazoa; Chordata; Mammalia; Primates; Hominidae. The record is from RNAcentral.